CGCUGGCGGCAGGCCUAACACAUGCAAGUCGAGCGGUAACAGAAUUAGCUUGCUAAUUUGCUGACGAGCGGCGGCGGGUGAGCAAUGCCUGGGAAUAUGCCUUAGUGUGGGGGAUAACUAUUGGAAACGAUAGCUAAUACCGCAUAACGUCUUCGGACCAAAGAGGGGGACCUUCGGGCCUCUCGCGCUAAGAUUAGCCCAGGUGGGAUUAGCUAGUUGGUGAGGUAAAGGCUCACCAAGGCAACGAUCCCUAGCUGGUCUGAGAGGAUGAUCAGCCACACUGGAACUGAGACACGGUCCAGACUCCUACGGGAGGCAGCAGUGGGGAAUAUUGCACAAUGGGGGAAACCCUGAUGCAGCCAUGCCGCGUGUAUGAAGAAGGCCUUCGGGUUGUAAAGUACUUUCAGUCGUGAGGAAGGGUAUGUAGUUAAUAGCUGCAUGCCUUGACGUUAGCGACAGAAGAAGCACCGGCUAACUCCGUGCCAGCAGCCGCGGUAAUACGGAGGGUGCGAGCGUUAAUCGGAAUUACUGGGCGUAAAGCGCAUGCAGGCGGUCUGUUAAGCAAGAUGUGAAAGCCCGGGGCUCAACCUCGGAACCGCAUUUUGAACUGGCAGACUAGAGUCUUGUAGAGGGGGGUAGAAUUUCAGGUGUAGCGGUGAAAUGCGUACAGAUCUGAAGGAAUACCGGUGGCGAAGGCGGCCCCCUGGACAAAGACUGACGCUCAGAUGCGAAAGCGUGGGGAGCAAACAGGAUUAGAUACCCUGGUAGUCCACGCCCGUAAACGAUGUCUACUUGAAGGUUGUGGCCUUGACCGUGGCUUUCGGAGCUAACGCUUAAUGACCGCCUGGGGAGUACGGUCGCAAGAUAAAACUCAAAUGAAGUUGAGACG
This 889-nucleotide ribosomal RNA is filed under the name uncultured bacterium. Its description in RNAcentral is "bacterial SSU rRNA". It matches the Rfam family "Bacterial small subunit ribosomal RNA", at positions 34 to 918 of the family's 1533-position model. The record is from RNAcentral.